GGUAAAAUGGCUGAGGUUAGGCAGUAGGCUGUAAACUUAUUAACGAAUUAAAUUCUUUUACC
Molecule: transfer RNA, 62 nt
Filed under: Hemisodorcus donckieri
Lineage: Eukaryota; Metazoa; Arthropoda; Insecta; Coleoptera; Lucanidae
Description: tRNA-Tyr
Rfam family: tRNA
About the family: Transfer RNA (tRNA) molecules are approximately 80 nucleotides in length. Their secondary structure includes four short double-helical elements and three loops (D, anti-codon, and T loops).
Source: RNAcentral